GAUGAACGCUGGCGGCGUGCCUAACACAUGCAAGUCGAGCGAACAGACGAGGAUCUUGCUCCUCUGACGUUAGCGGCGGACGGGUGAGUAACACGUGGAUAACCUACCUAUAAGACUGGUAUAACUUCGGGAAAGCGGAGCUAAUACCGGAUAAUAUAUUGCACCGCAUGGUUCAAUAGUGAAAUACGGCUUUGCUGUCACUUAUAGAUGGAUCCGGGCUGCAUGAGCUAGUUGGGAAGGUAACGGCUUACCAAGGCGACGAUGCGUAGCCGACCUGAGAGGGGGAUCGGCGACACGAGAGCGGAGACGGGGACCAGACUACUGCGAUAGGGAGCAGUAGGGAAUCUGCCGCAAUGGGGGAGAGCCUGACGGAGCAACGCCGCGUGAGUGAUGAAGGUGUUGGGAUCGUAAAACUCUGUUAUUAGGGGAGAACAAAUGUGUAAGUAACUGUGCACGUCUUGACGGUACCUGAUCAGGAAGCACCGGCUAACUACGUG
This 497-nucleotide ribosomal RNA is filed under the name uncultured bacterium. RNAcentral's name for it is "partial 16S ribosomal RNA". It matches the Rfam family "Bacterial small subunit ribosomal RNA", at positions 28 to 507 of the family's 1533-position model. The record is from RNAcentral.